This 689-nucleotide long non-coding RNA is filed under the name Crocodylus porosus (Australian saltwater crocodile). RNAcentral describes it as "lncRNA (ENSCPRG00005006968.1)". The record is from RNAcentral. Lineage: Eukaryota; Metazoa; Chordata; Crocodylia; Crocodylidae.
GGCGGCGGGCGGCUGAGGCGCCGGAGCCGGCGGGGCGGGGCUGCGACGCUGCCGCCCCACCCCAACCCGCUCCUGCCAGCGGAGCGAGUCGCCUCCCGCCUUCGCCCAGGAUCGUCUAGCCCGUGCCUGAGGCGGGAAUAGCCCCCAGGCAACCAUCAUCUCAAACUGAGAUCAGUGGCUCCCUUUGGACCAGGACCCAUUGUGGUCCACACCCAGGGCUCGUCAGUCCCGGCGCCUCAGGGUGUGGGGCGGGUGCGCAGGACCCUCGCAGGCUGGAUCCGCAGGUUUCUCCUUGCCAGAAGAACCCAUUUUUUCAAGUUUGUGUUUCGGAUAUUCUUGCAACCCAUUUUGGGGCACGGCUACAGUGGCCAUCAUAGAGGAGAGUCGGGCUGUCCGCUGCCCAUGAACGACACGUGCCCCCAGGGCCUGGCGGAGCAUGACAGCGGCAGGAGCGCGGCGGUGGUUUCUUGUAUGAUGUAUGCAAGUGAAUUCAGGAAAAUUCUAAGCAAUCUCUGCUGUCCGUCAACCAGUGACAACAAUCAAAAAGCCAUAAAACCUCAGAUGCCUACUCACUGAUAAUGAGGAAGCAGGCCAAAAAAGAGGAGAUAGAAAAACAUUUUUCCAUGUGUCUUGAGGAGUGAGGUGAGUACAUACAAAGAACUAUUGAAUAAAAUAAAUUGUUUAAAUCA